UGGGGAAUAUUGCACAAUGGAGGGAACUCUGAUGCAGCGACGCCGCGUGAGUGAUGAAGGAAUUCGUUUCGUAAAACUCUGUUCUAUGGGAAGAAAAGGACUGUACCAUAGGAGAAAGCUCCGGCUAAAUACGUGCCAGCAGCCGCGGUAAUACGUAUGGAGCGAGCGUUGUCCGGAAUUAUUGGGCGUAAAGGGUGCGCAGGCGGCUUUACAAGUUGGAUGUGAAAUAUUGUGGCUCAACCACAAACGUGCAUCCAAAACUGCAAAGCUUGAGCUAAGGAGAGGUAAGUGGAAUUCCUGGUGUAGCGGUGGAAUGCGUAGAUAUCAGGAGGAAUACCGGUGGCGAAGGCGACUUACUGAACUUAAACUGACGCUCAGGCACGAAAGCGUGGGGAGCAAACAGG
Molecule: ribosomal RNA, 404 nt
Filed under: Fusobacteriota bacterium
Lineage: Bacteria; Fusobacteriati; Fusobacteriota
Description: Fusobacteria bacterium partial 16S ribosomal RNA
Rfam family: Bacterial small subunit ribosomal RNA
Source: RNAcentral